This 971-nucleotide long non-coding RNA is filed under the name Macaca fascicularis (crab-eating macaque). Its description in RNAcentral is "lncRNA (ENSMFAG00000062780.1)". Lineage: Eukaryota; Metazoa; Chordata; Mammalia; Primates; Cercopithecidae. The record is from RNAcentral.
CAAAUCAGCAGAGGAAACUGAUGGCAGAAGUGGAUCAUUGCCCUUUAUGUCUCCACAGGAAAUCACUUAUUACCUAAAAAGUUGCUUGCAAAUGAGAAAGAUAAGCUCUUUUUGACUCCUAUUUAAAUAUUAUGCUAAACAGAAAAAGUUGAUAAUCUAUGUAUUGCUUGUUUUUAAAGAAAAGAUGGAAGCAUAUCACUUUUUGUUAAAUGCAUCUAUUGUGCAUUACACCCCUAGUAUAGAGAAAGCCCAUAUCAAGUCCAAGCAACAAUGAACAAAUAUAGUCAGAGCGUGUGGGAGCAGCUACCUAUAAAGAUUCUGUCCUCCCAGAGAACAUCCCAGGCAUGGAAGUGACACACUGCCUACCAACUGCCUACAUUUGAUUUUAUAAACAUCCUCUUUUCUGAUGAAAAACUUCCAUUUGUGCUUUACGCAAGGAUGCUCCCUUUCCAAACAGGCAAAAGAGUAAAAACGAUCCCCAUGACUUAUGAAAGACAGCUUUUUAAAGUGUAUUGGAGUCUCUACAAUGUACUUUUUAUGGUGAUCCUAACAGUUUUCUCAAGACAGACAUAAUGGAGAAUCUGCCGUAAUCUACCUCUACAUGACAACAGCUUGACCCUAGCAACUAACACAAUCCAUCACCUGCUGUCGAGCAACCAAGAGCAAGAAAAGAAGUGGUUAGAAAAGGUACCACCAGCUCUGGAGCUUUUAUGGUCAGUAAAGUAUGGAAGAACCAAAAUAGGCUCUCAAAGUAAAUCAGAGCACAGCAAAUACUUCUCUAAACCAAGUUCUGAUUUUAUACUAUAGGAGAGAAAAAAAAUGUUACAUUUGAAUAUAUUUUAUGACACUGUAAGUUAUGCCUGAGAGAAAAAUGUAUUUAAUAAUUUUUUGCAGUAAUCAAUAUAUAACUUAAGAUUCAGAAAUAUUUCCUUUGGAUACCUUUUUUUCCUUAAAAAUACAAAAAAAAAAAU